RNAcentral lists this transfer RNA (82 nucleotides) under Deltaproteobacteria bacterium. Its description in RNAcentral is "tRNA-Leu". It matches the Rfam family "tRNA". Rfam says of the family: Transfer RNA (tRNA) molecules are approximately 80 nucleotides in length. Their secondary structure includes four short double-helical elements and three loops (D, anti-codon, and T loops). RNAcentral also lists the same sequence under 1 other name. The record is from RNAcentral. Lineage: Bacteria; Pseudomonadati; Myxococcota; Myxococcia.
GCGAGAGUGGCGGAAUGGCAGACGCGCCGGACUUAGGAUCCGGUGGGCAACCAUGAGGGUUCAAGUCCCUCCUCUCGCACCA